This 253-nucleotide ribosomal RNA is filed under the name uncultured bacterium. Its description in RNAcentral is "partial 16S ribosomal RNA". It matches the Rfam family "Bacterial small subunit ribosomal RNA", at positions 524 to 776 of the family's 1533-position model. The record is from RNAcentral.
UGCAGAGGUCUCGAGCGUUAGGCGGAAUCACUGGGCUUAAAGCGUGUGUAGGUGGAUGCCUAAGUACCUUGUGAAAUCCCACAGCUUAACUGUGGAACUGCUUGGUAUACUGGGUGUCUUGAGUCACUCAGGGGCGAGCGGAACAAAUGGUGGAGCGGUGAAAUGCGUAGAUAUCAUUUGGAACGCCAAUGGUGAAAACAGCUCGCUGGGGGUGCACUGACACUGAGACACGAAAGCCAGGGGAGCGAACGGG